RNAcentral lists this ribosomal RNA (201 nucleotides) under uncultured bacterium. RNAcentral's name for it is "partial 16S ribosomal RNA". It matches the Rfam family "Bacterial small subunit ribosomal RNA", at positions 524 to 724 of the family's 1533-position model. The record is from RNAcentral.
UACAGAGGUCUCAAGCGUUGUUCGGAUUCAUUGGGCGUAAAGGGUGCGUAGGCGGCGCGGUAAGUCGGGUGUGAAAUCUCGGAGCUUAACUCCGAAACUGCAUUCGAUACUGCCGUGCUUGAGGACUGGAGAGGAGACUGGAAUUUACGGUGUAGCGGUGAAAUGCGUAGAUAUCGUAAGGAAGACCAGUGGCGAAGGCGG